ACUGACGUUGACAAAGUUGCUGCUGCUACUGUUUCUUUUGGCUACAAACUUCUUCAACAAUUAUUGGAGCAUUGUUUGUCUAGAGAGAGACACAUCAGCCAAUAAAUAGCAACAUUAACCAGAAGAUAUUUCCCAAAAGUUAUUUCAGCCAAGAAUAGUCCACUGCUUAAAUGACCACAUCAAUGCACCGACCGUCUGUAUGAUGCUGGAGCAUUUACAACAGCCAUGAAGUAGCUUGAGUUUUAUGACACCAAGUUGCAAAACCGAAUG
This is a long non-coding RNA of Octopus sinensis (East Asian common octopus), 270 nucleotides long. RefSeq lists it as uncharacterized. The record is from RefSeq and is a predicted model, not a curated record. The transcript is spliced from 3 exons. Lineage: Eukaryota; Metazoa; Mollusca; Cephalopoda; Octopoda; Octopodidae.